This 405-nucleotide ribosomal RNA is filed under the name uncultured bacterium. Its description in RNAcentral is "bacterial SSU rRNA". It matches the Rfam family "Bacterial small subunit ribosomal RNA", at positions 370 to 772 of the family's 1533-position model. The record is from RNAcentral.
AAUGGAGGAAACUCUGAACCAGCCAUCCCGCGUGAAGGAUGAAGGGGCUCUGCCUUGUAAACUUCUUUUGUCUGGGGCGAAAAAGCUCGAUUUAUCGAGAACUGACGGUACCAGAAGAAUAAGCACCGGCUAACUCCGUGCCAGCAGCCGCGGUAAUACGGAGGGUGCAAGCGUUAUCCGGAAUCACUGGGUUUAAAGGGUGCGUAGGCGGCUUAGUAAGUCAGUGGUGAAAGGCUGUGGCUUAACCAUGGAAUUGCCAUUGAUACUGCAGAGCUUGAAUGAGGUUGAGGUUGGCGGAAUGUGACAUGUAGCGGUGAAAUGCUUAGAUAUGUCAUGGAACACCGAUUGCGAAGGCAGCUGACUGGACCUAUAUUGACGCUGAGGCACGAAAGCGUGGGGAGCGAA